GUGCCAGCAGCCGCGGUAAUACGUAGGUGGCAAGCGUUGUCCGGAAUUAUUGGGCGUAAAGCGCGCGCAGGCGGUUUCUUAAGUCUGAUGUGAAAGCCCCCGGCUCAACCGGGGAGGGUCAUUGGAAACUGGGAAACUUGAGUGCAGAAGAGGAAAGUGGAAUUCCAAGUGUAGCGGUGAAAUGCGUAGAGAUUUGGAGGAACACCAGUGGCGAAGGCGACUUUCUGGUCUGUAACUGACGCUGAGGCGCGAAAGCGUGGGGAGCAAACAGGAUUAGAUACCCCCGUAGUCC
RNAcentral lists this ribosomal RNA (292 nucleotides) under uncultured bacterium. RNAcentral's name for it is "partial 16S ribosomal RNA". It matches the Rfam family "Bacterial small subunit ribosomal RNA", at positions 505 to 796 of the family's 1533-position model. The record is from RNAcentral.